Molecule: ribosomal RNA, 253 nt
Filed under: uncultured bacterium
Lineage: Bacteria
Also listed under: 1 other name
Description: partial 16S ribosomal RNA
Rfam family: Bacterial small subunit ribosomal RNA
Source: RNAcentral
UACGUAGGGAGCAAGCGUUAUCCGGAUUUACUGGGUGUAAAGGGCGAGUAGGCGGAUUGGCAAGUUGGGAGUGAAAUGUCGGGGCUUAACCCCGGAACUGCUUCCAAAACUGUUGAUCUUGAGUGAUGGAGAGGCAGGCGGAAUUCCCAGUGUAGCGGUGAAAUGCGUAGAUAUUGGGAGGAACACCAGUGGCGAAGGCGGCCUGCUGGACAUUAACUGACGCUGAGGAGCGAAAGCGUGGGGAGCAAACAGG